GGAUGGAUGGCAGAGUGGUCGAAUGCGUCUGAUUUGAAAUCAGAUGAAUGUUACACAUUCCCUGAGUUCAAAUCUCAGUCCAUCUU
Molecule: transfer RNA, 86 nt
Filed under: Chromera velia
Lineage: Eukaryota; Chromeraceae
Description: tRNA-Ser
Rfam family: tRNA
About the family: Transfer RNA (tRNA) molecules are approximately 80 nucleotides in length. Their secondary structure includes four short double-helical elements and three loops (D, anti-codon, and T loops).
Source: RNAcentral